RNAcentral lists this ribosomal RNA (705 nucleotides) under Stutzerimonas chloritidismutans. RNAcentral describes it as "bacterial SSU rRNA". It matches the Rfam family "Bacterial small subunit ribosomal RNA", at positions 50 to 750 of the family's 1533-position model. Lineage: Bacteria; Pseudomonadati; Pseudomonadota; Gammaproteobacteria; Pseudomonadales; Pseudomonadaceae. The record is from RNAcentral.
AACACAUGCAAGUCGAGCGGAUGAAGAGAGCUUGCUCUCUGAUUCAGCGGCGGACGGGUGAGUAAUGCCUAGGAAUCUGCCUGGAUAGUGGGGGACAACGUUUCGAAAGGAACGCUAAUACCGCAUACGUCCUACGGGAGAAAGCAGGGGACUUCGGGCCUUGCGCUAUCAGAUGAGCCUAGGUCGGAUUAGCUAGUUGGUGAGGUAAAGGCUCACCAAGGCGACGAUCCGUAACUGGUCUGAGAGGAUGAUCAGUCACACUGGAACUGAGACACGGUCCAGACUCCUACGGGAGGCAGCAGUGGGGAAUAUUGGACAAUGGGCGAAAGCCUGAUCCAGCCAUGCCGCGUGUGUGAAGAAGGUCUUCGGAUUGUAAAGCACUUUAAGUUGGGAGGAAGGGCAUUAACCUAAUACGUUAGUGUUUUGACGUUACCGACAGAAUAAGCACCGGCUAACUUCGUGCCAGCAGCCGCGGUAAUACGAAGGGUGCAAGCGUUAAUCGGAAUUACUGGGCGUAAAGCGCGCGUAGGUGGUUUGUUAAGUUGAAUGUGAAAGCCCCGGGCUCAACCUGGGAACUGCAUCCAAAACUGGCAAGCUAGAGUAUGGCAGAGGGUGGUGGAAUUUCCUGUGUAGCGGUGAAAUGCGUAGAUAUAGGAAGGAACACCAGUGGCGAAGGCGACCACCUGGGCUAAUACUGACACUGAG